GGGAAGGUAGCUCAGUUGGUAGAGCAGCGUUUUGUUAAUUCGCUUGUCACGGGUUCGAGUCCCGUCCUUCCCU
RNAcentral lists this transfer RNA (73 nucleotides) under Paracoccaceae bacterium. RNAcentral's name for it is "Rhodobacteraceae bacterium (subsurface metagenome) tRNA-Asn". It matches the Rfam family "tRNA". From Rfam's summary of the family: Transfer RNA (tRNA) molecules are approximately 80 nucleotides in length. Their secondary structure includes four short double-helical elements and three loops (D, anti-codon, and T loops). The record is from RNAcentral. Lineage: Bacteria; Pseudomonadati; Pseudomonadota; Alphaproteobacteria; Rhodobacterales; Paracoccaceae.